This 32-nucleotide non-coding RNA is filed under the name Rattus norvegicus (Norway rat). The record is from RNAcentral. Lineage: Eukaryota; Metazoa; Chordata; Mammalia; Rodentia; Muridae.
UCUCAUGUCAACAGUUUAAUCACUGAGAGAGG